UUUUUGUCUCAAAAGGAGAUGAUUCUCUGAUGAAGGUUGUGGAUUUGGUCUAUCGGGUUUUGUUAGACCAGGGCAGCCAAUCUUCUGAGGAAAUUAUAAUGGAAAAUAUGAUGGAAAGUGCAUAUUUAAGAUGACUGGAUCCCAAUCUUUUCAUCGCCUCGAAUAUUGAUGGUAUAAACGCCUCAAUGAUAUUGUUGGCUGUGCCUACUAUGUUGCACCUGAAGUGCUCCAUAGAUCUUACAGUGUUGAAGCAGACUUAUGGAGUAUCGGAGUUAUUACAUACAUAUUGUUAAGUGGAAGUAGACUAAGAAUCUUCUGGCUUGUGCUAAGAGCUAAUCCUAACUUUGAUGAUUCACCUUGGCCAUCAAUAUCACCAGAAGCUAAAGACUUUGUCAAGAGGCUUUUGAACAAUGACCAUAGAAAAAGGAUGUCUGCUGCCCAAGCUCUAGGGUGUCGUUUUCCACUAGUGACCAUUUCGUUCAAAUAACUUUUCUAAUUGGAGAUUUCGAUGCCAAGAACUCAUGUCUCUUGAGGGUGGUAUGUGAUCUCACUGAUUUGCCCUUAUAUAAAGAUUGUAGGGAGAUGCCCUUGUGCCAAAGUAGUCUCAAUUUGUUAGCCCAGGUCGGGAGAAGCUCAAUAUCAGUUAUGGAACUCCUAUCAUUUGGAUAGGGGGAGAUAAUGGUCUAGGUAGGAGCUCUGGGCCUUUGGUCGGCCAUAAACGAAGUUAAAUGGUCUAUUGAGCAAUGCACAUGUUGAACUUAGCUAUAGAUGAGAAUUUUGUCAUUAGGUAUCUUGUAUGCAUACAUUACUGCCUUGUAUGUUCUUGUUUGAGAGUAACUAAUUGGACCAGGUGAUUGACCGGCUAUAGAUGCAUUGUAACCUCAAAUGUGAUUAUUGAGACUUUUUGUCUCAUCUUUUUAUCUUUUGCUUUUCAAGAGACACGCGUGAAGUUGUGGGAAGGGAAUUAACGUAAUGGAAUUGAGCUUUAUGAGAAGUACGAUUCCUUCAAAAUA
Prosopis cineraria is the source of this 1013-nucleotide long non-coding RNA. RefSeq lists it as uncharacterized. The record is from RefSeq and is a predicted model, not a curated record. Lineage: Eukaryota; Viridiplantae; Streptophyta; Magnoliopsida; Fabales; Fabaceae. The transcript is spliced from 6 exons.